GCCAUUGGCCGUUAAUUUCGGGCAGCGCCUUGCUUAGUCUCUUCGAGAUGGCUCUGAGCUGACUUUGUAGCUGACAAACCGGUUUAGGGGCAUCCCCCUCUCCAAGGAAGAUCAGAACUGCUUUAAGGAUGCAGGAAAAUCACCGAGGCCCAAGCUGUGGGGAACUGGACACCCCCUCGCUUACCCCAGGAUGCCGUUCCCCUUCCCGAGGGGUCGCCGCCUGCAGGCAGUGGGAGAGCGCCGGACUCAAGGAGCGGGAUGAGCCUGGCGGAGCUGCCCAGCCGGCCCGGCCCCCGUCCCGAGGCGCUGGGGACUGGUCACUGCCCAUGAUCAUCAGUCAAGCCAUAACCAAGAGCAUGGAGGCUGUCUAUUUGUGCACAUGGUCAUCUUCUAGGAAUUAGGAAGCCACCCUUCAGGAGUCCCCAUCACAGUGGGACUAUGCCCGGCUCCUCCUUUUGCAGCCUUUACUGAAGUAUUAGCUAUCUGGAAAAGGAUCUGCUAGUAGGACCUGGGGCUUUUGUUCCCGGUGCCACACACUCCUCUCCCCCUCAAGAUACUCAGUACUGUCCCUUCAGGGAGGAGAUUUGAGCUUUGCUCAGGCAGCAGGAGAAGACCUAGCCCUCACCGGUCUCGGUUCCUUCAAAGGUCAGGGCUCAUAGGAUUCCUCAGUAAAGUGGGCUGGGCAUGAGCAGGAACCCCACUCUAGGCUUUCAUAUCAGUUCAUCUUCUCCCCCUUUGUCCCAGAGCUCAGCUCAGACCCAAAGGCUCUUCCAUUUACCAUCAACAUGGAAAUUUGUCUCUUUACGUGGGUGUAUUCUCCCUCUUUUGUGCAUUAUCUUGUUCCUCAAAACUGCCCUUCCACGAAGGAGGCCUGUGGAGUCAAGGGGCCUGGCCAGACACCCAGAGGUGACUGAGGCCGUCAGACCUCAGAUUGGGUAGACCAAUUUAAUAAAGGCUUUAUGUCCUUGACUGCC
Leptonychotes weddellii (Weddell seal) is the source of this 974-nucleotide long non-coding RNA. RefSeq lists it as uncharacterized. NCBI's taxonomy places the organism in Eukaryota, Metazoa, Chordata, Mammalia, Carnivora, Phocidae. The record is from RefSeq and is a predicted model, not a curated record.